CGGGUGACCUAUCCAUGGGCAGGUUGAAGUGGAAGUAAAAUUUCAUGGAGGACCGAACCAGACGUCUGUUGAAAAAGGCGGGGAUGACCUGUGGAUAGCGGAGAAAUUCCAAUCGAACCCGGAGAUAGCUGGUUCUCCUCGAAAUAGCUUUAGGGCUAGCCUCGCAUUAGUUUACCGGAGGUAGAGCACUGAAUGGUCUAGGGGGCCUCACCGCCUACCGAAACCUAUCAAACUGCGAAUGCCGGAUAAAUGAUGUGCGGGAGUCAGGCCGCGAGAGAUAAGUUCCGCGGUCAAAAGGGGAACACCCCAGAUCGUCUGCUAAGGUCCCCAAGUACGCGUUAAGUGGGAAAGGAUGUUGGAUUGCACAGACAACCAGGAUGUUGGCUUAGAAGCAGCCACACAUUCAAAGAGUGCGUAAUAGCUCACUGGUCGAGUGAUCCAGCGCCGAAAAUGUAACGGGGCUAAAACGCGACACCGAAGCAGCGGGAUGCGUAAGCAUCGGUAGAGGAGCAUUGUGUGAGGAUAGAAGCCAGAGCGGGAGCACUGGUGGACUUCACAGAAGAGAGAAUGCCGGUAUGAGUAGCGAGACCCAUGCGAGAAACAUGGGCGUCGAAGGCCCAAGGUUUCCUGGGGAAGGUUCAUCCACCCAGGGUAAGUCGGGACCUAAGCCGAGGACUGAGGUCGUAGGCGAUGGACAGCAGGUAGAGAUUCCUGCACCACUUACACUUGUUUGACGAAGCAGUGACACAGAAGGAUAGGACGAGCGCGGUGAUGGUCAACCGCGUAGGCGGCACGAGGCUGGGGAGCAGUAAAGUACACUUCCCGUGAAGGCUGAGUGCUGACAGGACCGAAAAAGAGUAGGGAAGCGUCUGAGUUCACGCUGGCGAGAAAAGCUGCUAAGGAGAGUGUGAGUGCCCGUACCGGAAACCGACGCAGGUGGGCGAGGAGAGAAUCCUGAGACGGACGGGAGAACUCUUGUUAAGGAACUCGGCAAAAUGACCCCGUAACUUCGGGAGAAGGGGUGCCUCGAAAGAGGCCGCAGAGAAUAGUCACAAGCGACUGUUUAGCAAAAACACAGGUAUCUGCGAAAGCGAGAGCUGACGUAUAGGUGCUGACGCCUGCCCGGUGCUGGAAGGUUAAGGGGAAGUGUUAGGGGAAACCCGAAGCAGAGAACCGAAGCCCCAGUAAACGGCGGCCGUAACUAUAACGGUCCUAAGGUAGCGAAAUUCCUUGUCGGGUAAGUUCCGACCCGCACGAAUGGCGUAACGACUUGUGAGCUGUCUCAACAGGAGGCCCGGUGAAAUUGAAGUAUGUGUGAAGAUGCACAUUACCCGCGACUGGACGGAAAGACCCCGUAGAGCUUUACUGUAACCUGACAUUGGAUCUUGAUAACGGAUGCACAGGAUAGGUGGGACGCUGGGAGGUAUGGACUUUGGUCUGUACGGAGCGGACGUUGGGAUACCACUCUUCUGUUAUUGAGAUUCUAACCUCAAGCCGUAAGCCGGAUGAGAGACAGUGUCAGGCGGACAGUUUGACUGGGGCGGUCGCCUCCGAAAG
RNAcentral lists this ribosomal RNA (1557 nucleotides) under human gut metagenome. Its description in RNAcentral is "bacterial LSU rRNA". It matches the Rfam family "Bacterial large subunit ribosomal RNA", at positions 722 to 2295 of the family's 2925-position model. The record is from RNAcentral.